RNAcentral lists this ribosomal RNA (467 nucleotides) under uncultured bacterium. RNAcentral's name for it is "partial 16S ribosomal RNA". It matches the Rfam family "Bacterial small subunit ribosomal RNA", at positions 29 to 507 of the family's 1533-position model. The record is from RNAcentral.
ACGAACGCUGGCGGCGUGCUUAACACAUGCAAGUCGAACGGAAAGGCCCUGCUUUUGUGGGGUGCUCGAGUGGCGAACGGGUGAGUAACACGUGAGUAACCUGCCCUUGACUUUGGGAUAACUUCAGGAAACUGGGGCUAAUACCGGAUAGGAGCACCUGCUGCAUGGUGGGGGUUGGAAAGUUUCGGCGGUUGGGGAUGGACUCGCGGCUUAUCAGCUUGUUGGUGGGGUAGUGGCUUACCAAGGCUUUGACGGGUAGCCGGCCUGAGAGGGUGACCGGCCACAUUGGGACUGAGAUACGGCCCAGACUCCUACGGGAGGCAGCAGUGGGGAAUAUUGCACAAUGGGCGGAAGCCUGAUGCAGCAACGCCGCGUGCGGGAUGACGGCCUUCGGGUUGUAAACCGCUUUCGCCUGUGACGAAGCGUGAGUGACGGUAAUGGGUAAAGAAGCACCGGCUAACUACGUG